This 1112-nucleotide unclassified non-coding RNA is filed under the name Leishmania donovani. RNAcentral's name for it is "gene:LdHU3.36.6830(CDS-product:hypothetical_prote in_conserved)". Lineage: Eukaryota; Euglenozoa; Kinetoplastea; Trypanosomatida; Trypanosomatidae. The record is from RNAcentral.
UCUUCUCGCACGCCAUCGUCUCGGGGCAGGAGGCACACACCUGGACCAAGCAAAUACAAACAAAAAGAACCAUGGAGACUUGCGACGGCGUAGAUGGCGUCGCCGGCGCGCCGAAGAUGACAGAGUCGCUUAUUUUGCAGCAGUGCCGGACGCACCAGGGCUACUCGACACCUGAGCUCAACGAAAAGCUCUACUUGCACCACCUGGGCUUCACCCAGCUCGACGGCCUCGCAGCCUUCACCGGCUGCGUCGUGCUCUACCUCGACCACAACGCCCUAAGCGACCUUGCCGGGCUCGCGGCGCUUACCCGCCUCGACUCCCUGUACCUUUCCUGCAACGCGCUCUCCCACCUCGACUCGAUGCCUCGGUUGCCGCUCUUGCGCACCUUGGACGUCGCCCAGAACCAGAUUGUGACACUCAACGGCCUCGACGAGGCGGCGCCGCAGCUACAGACGCUGCUGGCAGGACGCAACAAGCUGCAAAGUCUCGAUGGUGUGCAGGGGCUUUCCGGCCUGCUGUCGCUCGAUGUGUCGCACAACUGCAUCGAAGACGAGGAGGCGACGAGUGCCUGUGUGUGCGGCAACCGCGCCACGCUGCGCACCCUGCUGCUUCAUGGAAACGAGCUGUGCCGUCGCACCCCGCACCACCGCAAGCGCUGGAUUGCAGCGUUUCCGGCGCUGCGGUUUCUCGACGAGUACCCCGUUUUCGACGACGAGCGCGCGCGUGCCGAGGCCUUUGCCGGCGGGGGUGCGGCAGCCGAGGCGGAAAUCCGCAGCGCGCAGCGCACUCGUGCCCUCGCCGAAGCGCGAGAGCAGUUCGCGUACUACGGCGAUAUCCGCGAGGCGCAACGCGCUGCCCGGCUCCGCAACGGUGCGGAAACGCAAGCAACCCCGUACUUCCUCGCCCACACACCAAGCAUCAACAAGACGGUUUUGCAGGACGCCGAAGACGAACCCAUCUACAUCCCAGCAACACGCGGCGCUGCCGUUCACCAGGACCCGCUGCGUGGGUGAGUCGCGUGCGAGAAGUUGUUAGUUCAUGCUGGCCAUAGCAACGCAGCUUCUACAUUGUUUGUGUGCUAAGCAUCUUCAUGUACAAGAGACAGAGCUUUG